UGGCUCCGGCGCGCGCGGCUGUGCGUCCUACCUCUGGGGAGAGGUGGGGGACUGGUCCCUUCGAGUUGGUCUCGGACCCGGGCCCUCCGCGGCCGAACACUUCAGGUGUGACUUCGGCGUCCCCUGUCUUGGACCCCGCGCGUCGAGCGCGCACCGGAGCCGGGGAGAGACGCGCACCAUGCUGGAGGGCGACAUUGGCCUAGAGGGACUGCCCCCCAAGGAAGCCCCUGCAGCCCGCGCUAUUAAUACACAUAAUAUUUCCGUGCUAUUCUGAAGAUUUAUUUGAGAUAUAAAGUAACUGCUGGGACUCGAAGGCACAAUGGGAACUACAGUGGAGCUCGCAGAGGCAGAGACAGAUGAGGCCUGGCUCCUGGAGGGGGAGUCCCUGACUUCCUCCACCAGCCCUCCACCAGCCCUGCACAUAAAUCACGACCCUGGAUAUUUUUAUACCAAUAAUUUUUAAAAUAAAUGACCCAAGCAGUGUUUCCUGGGUGAUC
Fukomys damarensis (Damara mole-rat) is the source of this 497-nucleotide long non-coding RNA. RefSeq lists it as uncharacterized. The record is from RefSeq and is a predicted model, not a curated record. NCBI's taxonomy places the organism in Eukaryota, Metazoa, Chordata, Mammalia, Rodentia, Bathyergidae. The transcript has 3 exons.